GACGAACGCUGGCGGCGUGCUUAACACAUGCAAGUCGAACGGAAAGGCCCUGCUUGCAGGGUACUCGAGUGGCGAACGGGUGAGUAACACGUGGGUGAUCUGCCCUGCACUUCGGGAUAAGCCUGGGAAACGGGGUCUAAUACCCGAAAGGAGCCAUGUUGAGAGUGAGGGUUGGAAAGUUUUUUCGGUGUUGGAUGAGCUCGCGGCCUAUCAGCUUGUUGGUGGGGUAAUGGCCUACCAAGGCGGCGACGGGUAGCCGGCCUGAGAGGGUGGACGGCCACCCUGGGUCUGAGGGACGGCCCAGACGCCGACGGGAGGCAGCUGUGCGGAAUCUUGCACAAUGGGCGCAAGCCUGAUGCAGCGACGCCGCGUGGGGGAUGACGGCCUUCGUGUUGUGAACUCCUUUCGCUAGGGACGAAGCUUUUUGUGACGUUACCUAGAUAAGAAGCACCGGCUAACUACGUG
Molecule: ribosomal RNA, 465 nt
Filed under: uncultured bacterium
Lineage: Bacteria
Description: partial 16S ribosomal RNA
Rfam family: Bacterial small subunit ribosomal RNA
Source: RNAcentral